Molecule: long non-coding RNA, 734 nt
Organism: Cyprinus carpio carpio
Lineage: Eukaryota; Metazoa; Chordata; Actinopteri; Cypriniformes; Cyprinidae
Source: Ensembl
GUGGUAACUUCUCUAUACCUUUUUGAAUGCUUAAUGGUCUUUGUUCUCCUGGUGUAUUUUUAUUUUUUAUUUUUUAUUUUUUACUAAGACUUGUAGUUUGGAUGAUUGCUCUUGUUUCCUGUUCAUCUAUUGCCUGACUACUGUCUGCUCUGUAUUGGAUAAUGUUCUUUGGAUUUUGGACAAUUUUUGGCUUGCUUUAUUCUCAAUAAAGCGAGCAUAUCUGCAAUUGCAUCUGUCUUCUGAUCCUUCUCUGACAGAAUACUUCAUCAACCGCAUGGAUGCAGCAGGAGAAUUUAACUGGCAGCAAGCGAUAACUGCUCAACAGCAAGUGAUGGCGUCAGACGCAACAACCUGUGACAAUUUCCGCAAUGCCUCUACCGGAAAAAAUUCUCAGGCAUUGAAAUGGGCCUCUGCAGUUUGGGAUCAAGGAGGAUCACUUGUGACAUCGUAUCAGCAUUUCACAGAAUUGUUUCAAGGACAGCGACGUGUUUCUGAAUAUGCACUGGAGUUUAGAACCAUUGCAACCUAUACUGGAUAAUGUCCUUUGGAUUUUGGACUAUUUUUGGCUUGCUUUAUUCUCAAAGAGAGCAUACCUGCAAUUGCAUCUGUCUUCUGAUCCUUCUCUGACACCAUCACAUAUACCAUGAACUCUCGGUUGAUUAACCCAGACCUUGCUUACUUGAAGUCUGCCAAGGUUAUCUCAUGGCCAAUUCAUACAUAUUUGAUGAGGUGAC